This is a long non-coding RNA of Ornithodoros turicata, 959 nucleotides long. RefSeq lists it as uncharacterized. The record is from RefSeq and is a predicted model, not a curated record. The transcript is spliced from 2 exons. NCBI's taxonomy places the organism in Eukaryota, Metazoa, Arthropoda, Arachnida, Ixodida, Argasidae.
UCGAAGUGCGCAGAUGUUUCACAUUGUUCUGUUCCCUUUAUUGCCACCCCCCUGAUGUCAUUUACACUUUGCAUGCUGUCGCGGCUUUGGUGUAAACAAAAGGAACGAAUAACGCAUACGGAAAGAAAUUACCCAGAGCAUUUCAGUAUUUCCUAUACUGGACUGCAACCAGAGCCUUGAAGUCAUAUCGCAGUUUCAAGACUGACGCCUUAUUUUGGGCAACUUCGUCACCGAAUUUCAACCCUGUUUCAAAAGUGCAAACGUUUUGAAAACAUAUCAGCAUCAUCGACUGAAACUACACCUGGAUUUUUCCCGUCAAUCAAAUGAUGAUUCUGUGACUGCAACUAUCUUGUUCGCUGGUUGCACCCCCCCCCCCAUUCUGGAAAUAUUGUAGUAAUUCUCCUGCUGAGAACCGUAUAAAUACUGGGCGUCUCGACAGUGGUACCAUCAGUGUUUAGAACACCACGAGCAGGUCUUCACAUGAAGAUGCGCUUUCUGUGUCUCCUGCUUCUCGCUGCCUUCUUUUGCGGUGCUGUCUCUCUGACGCUGCCUCCACCUCCACAAGAAAAUACCACAGAGAAGGACGAUGAACUCGCCACUGUGUCGGCUGUAGCGUCUCAUCAAGAACCCACUCCCCAGGCAUUGUCCGAAGCCGACGAUGUGUCACGGGAACUGGAUGAGCUGAUGUCUCUGAUGUCAGAGGACGAAGAGGCGACCUACAGGUUCUUCAGAGGCAUUGGAAGAGCACUCAGGAGGCGAAAGCCCAGGAGAGGAAAGGGAGGCUGUGGUCGCCGUGGCUAAAGUAGCGGCUAGAAAGUCCAGGAAGACAAUGUGUAUCGGAAAACCAGAAGUGCGGUGAUUAUCCAGUUGAUCAUGGGGAUUUCCAAUUCCAAACCUUCUGGGGGAACGAAUGAACUGCAGAAGAUGUAAUAUGAUUGAAUAAAUGUAUCUUCAAAUAU